RNAcentral lists this ribosomal RNA (850 nucleotides) under uncultured deep-sea bacterium. RNAcentral's name for it is "bacterial SSU rRNA". It matches the Rfam family "Bacterial small subunit ribosomal RNA", at positions 8 to 869 of the family's 1533-position model. The record is from RNAcentral.
AGAGUUUGAUCCUGGCUCAGAAUCAACGCUGGCGGCGUGCCUCAGACAUGCAAGUCGAACGAUUAAAGCUUUCUUCGGAAAGUGUAUAGAGUGGCGUACGGGAGAGUAACACGUAAGUAAUCUACCCUUAGGUGGGGAAUAACUUAGGGAAACUUAAGCUAAUACCCCAUAAUGCAGCGGCUCCAUAUGGAGACAGUUGUUAAAGCAUUUAUGUGCCUAAGGAGGAGCUUGCGGCAGAUUAGCUAGUUGGUAAGGUAACGGCUUACCAAGGCGACGAUCUGUAGCCGGUCUAAGAGGACGGUCGGUCUCACUGACACUGAAUAACGGGUCAGACUCCUACGGGAGGCAGCAGUCUGGAAUUUUGGGCAAUGGGCGAAAGCCUGACCCAGCAACGCCGCGUGAAGGAUGAAGUCUUUCGGGAUGUAAACUUCGAAAUUAUAGGAAGAAUCAAUGACGGUACUAUAAGUAAGCUCCGGCUAACUACGUGCCAGCAGCCGCGGUAAUACGUAGGGAGCAAGCGUUGUUCGGAUUUACUGGGCGUAAAGGGUGCGUAGGCGGCGCGACAAGUCACUUGUGAAAUCUCCGGGCUUAACUCGGAACGGCCAAGUGAUACUGUUGUGCUAGAGUGCAGGAAGGGCAACUGGAAUUCUUGGUGUAGCGGUGAAAUGCGUAGAUAUCAAGAGGAACACCUGAGGCGAAGGCGAGUUGCUAGACUGACACUGACGCUGAGGCACGAAAGCUAGGGGAGCGAACGGGAUUAGAUACCCCGGUAGUCCUAGCCCUAAACGAUGAAUGCUUGGUGUCUGGAGUUUUAAUUCUCUGGGUGCCGUCGCUAACGCUUUUAGCAUUC